RNAcentral lists this ribosomal RNA (459 nucleotides) under uncultured bacterium. RNAcentral's name for it is "partial 16S ribosomal RNA". It matches the Rfam family "Bacterial small subunit ribosomal RNA", at positions 338 to 795 of the family's 1533-position model. The record is from RNAcentral.
CCUACGGGUGGCAGCAGUGAGGAAUAUUGGUCAAUGGGCGGGAGCCUGAACCAGCCAAGCCGCGUGAGGGAAGAAGGUACAGCGUAUCGUAAACCUCUUUUGUCGGGGAGCAAAGAGAGUCACGUGUGACUCAUUGAGAGUACCCGAAGAAAAAGCAUCGGCUAACUCCGUGCCAGCAGCCGCGGUAAUACGGAGGAUGCGAGCGUUAUCCGGAUUUAUUGGGUUUAAAGGGUGCGCAGGCGGUCUGUUAAGUCAGCGGUCAAAGCCCGGGGCUCAACCCCGGCCCGCCGUUGAAACUGGCAGUCUCGAGUUGCAGAGAAGUAUGCGGAAUGCGCGGUGUAGCGGUGAAAUGCAUAGAGAUCGCGCAGAACUCCGAUUGCGAAGGCAGCAUGCCGGCUCCACACUGACGCUGAGGCACGAAAGCGUGGGUAUCGAACAGGAUUAGAUACCCUUGUAGUC